This 415-nucleotide ribosomal RNA is filed under the name Streptomyces sp. MBT71. Its description in RNAcentral is "bacterial SSU rRNA". It matches the Rfam family "Bacterial small subunit ribosomal RNA", at positions 96 to 527 of the family's 1533-position model. Lineage: Bacteria; Bacillati; Actinomycetota; Actinomycetes; Kitasatosporales; Streptomycetaceae. The record is from RNAcentral.
UGGCGACGGGUGAGUAACCGUGGGCAAUCUGCCCUUCACUCUGGGACAAGCCCUGGAAACGGGGUCUAAUACCGGAUAAUACUUCUGCUCUCAUGGGCAGGGGUUAAAAGCUCCGGCGGUGAAGGAUGAGCCCGCGGCCUAUCAGCUUGUUGGUGAGGUAAUGGCUCACCAAGGCGACGACGGGUAGCCGGCCUGAGAGGGCGACCGGCCACACUGGGACUGAGACACGGCCCAGACUCCUACGGGAGGCAGCAGUGGGGAAUAUUGCACAAUGGGCGAAAGCCUGAUGCAGCGACGCCGCGUGAGGGAUGACGGCCUUCGGGUUGUAAACCUCUUUCAGCAGGGAAGAAGCGAAAGUGACGGUACCUGCAGAAGAAGCGCCGGCUAACUACGUGCCAGCAGCCGCGGUAAUACG